AAAACAGCAGUUUCAGUGGACGGUGGGCUGUAAAUUCUUGGUAGGAGAAGACAGGUCUCCACGGAAUCGUUCCGAGGUCAGAUCUGUUGAGAUUGCAAGGUUAGUAGGUAGAGUUAAAGAGGAAUGCUUAAGCCAGAGACAGGCAAGUGAAAUGACUAGCUCAGACUUGGUUAGCAAAGGAAACACCAGGCUGCUCUCACGAUAACUUGAGAUUUUUGUUAACCUGAUAUUCUCUAGAAAGAGAAGGAAAACCCAGUAAUUAUAUGGUUGCUACGCCACUGUCAAAAGAGGCUGUCAAUUUGUAUCAUCUUAAUACACCAACUAGGGGACUGUUAAUUAUAGUUUUCACUCUGGUAAAUUGCAGGAGAAGCUAUAUAAAUUACACCGCCACUUACAACAUUAUCUGGAGCUAAUCCAGAAAGUGGCAAAUGACCUUCAGCCAGCAGUUCUCAGACUGUGACCUACACCUCAGGACUUACUAGAAGUCCUGGUUCUCAACGGGACUCCUCACCACCACAUGGGAAACUCUGGUGACCGGCUCAGCACAGUUCAUUGUGACAACCACUCCACAGUGCUGUCUGGGACCGAGGGAAAAUGACAACAAACAAUUCGACCUUGAACUUACUUCAAGAUCCUGUACCCAGCACUGCGUUAAAAGCUCUAUUUCGGCACUCACUCGGAUUAAAGCACUGCUCAAAACACAGCCUUGCCAACUUGGCUCCAGGGGAGAAGCAGCCACUGGAACAAUGCAGGCAAUUUAAUCG
RNAcentral lists this long non-coding RNA (764 nucleotides) under Rattus norvegicus (Norway rat). Its description in RNAcentral is "long non-coding RNA NONRATT017475". Lineage: Eukaryota; Metazoa; Chordata; Mammalia; Rodentia; Muridae. The record is from RNAcentral.